Molecule: small nucleolar RNA, 69 nt
Filed under: Drosophila yakuba
Lineage: Eukaryota; Metazoa; Arthropoda; Insecta; Diptera; Drosophilidae
Description: snoRNA:GE27106
Source: RNAcentral
CUUUUCUGAUGAUCUUAUACACAGACCUGUACUGAGCUCAAAUACCGUGCAGAAAAUUGUAAACUGAAA